RNAcentral lists this ribosomal RNA (360 nucleotides) under Salmonella enterica. RNAcentral's name for it is "partial 23S ribosomal RNA". It matches the Rfam family "Bacterial large subunit ribosomal RNA", at positions 2443 to 2802 of the family's 2925-position model. Lineage: Bacteria; Pseudomonadati; Pseudomonadota; Gammaproteobacteria; Enterobacterales; Enterobacteriaceae. RNAcentral also lists the same sequence under 1 other name. The record is from RNAcentral.
CAUCGCUCAACGGAUAAAAGGUACUCCGGGGAUAACAGGCUGAUACCGCCCAAGAGUUCAUAUCGACGGCGGUGUUUGGCACCUCGAUGUCGGCUCAUCACAUCCUGGGGCUGAAGUAGGUCCCAAGGGUAUGGCUGUUCGCCAUUUAAAGUGGUACGCGAGCUGGGUUUAGAACGUCGUGAGACAGUUCGGUCCCUAUCUGCCGUGGGCGCUGGAGAACUGAGGGGGGCUGCUCCUAGUACGAGAGGACCGGAGUGGACGCAUCACUGGUGUUCGGGUUGUCAUGCCAAUGGCACUGCCCGGUAGCUAAAUGCGGAAGAGAUAAGUGCUGAAAGCAUCUAAGCACGAAACUUGCCCCGA